Molecule: ribosomal RNA, 457 nt
Filed under: uncultured bacterium
Lineage: Bacteria
Description: SSU rRNA
Rfam family: Bacterial small subunit ribosomal RNA
Source: RNAcentral
AGGAUGAACGCUGGCGGCGUGCCUAAUACAUGCAAGUCGAGCGGUAAGGCCACUUCGGUGGUACACGAGCGGCGGACGGCUGAGUAACACGUAGGAACGUACCCCAAAGUGAGGCAUAAGCACCAGAAAUGGUGUCUAAUACCGCAUGUGGCCUAACAGGCUAAAGCUCCGGCGCUUUGGGAACGGCCUGCGCAUGAUUAGCUUGUUGGUGAGGUAAAAGCUCACCAAGGCAGUGAUCAUUAGCUGGUCUGAGAGGAUGACCAGCCAGACUGGGACUGAGAACGGCCCAGACUCCUACGGGAGGCAGCAGUAGGGAAUUUUCCACAAUGGGCGAAAGCCUGAUGGAGCAACGCCGCGUGCAGGAUGAAGGCUCUAGGGUCGUAAACUGCUUUUUAUCUGUGACGAAUAUGACGGUAGCAGAUGAAUAAGGAUCGGCUAACUCCGUGCCAGCAGCCGC